UUCACAGUGUAAGUCAUUCUAGCAUUUCCCACAUUCAUAUUGAUUUGAUGUUGAGACAUAUAUAUUUAUCUAGAUCAUUAACAUCAAAUCAAUAUGAAUGUGGGAAAUGCUAGAAUGACUUACAUUGUGA
Molecule: unclassified non-coding RNA, 130 nt
Filed under: Oryza sativa (Asian cultivated rice)
Lineage: Eukaryota; Viridiplantae; Streptophyta; Magnoliopsida; Poales; Poaceae
Description: partial microRNA MIR472a-25-as precursor
Source: RNAcentral